RNAcentral lists this ribosomal RNA (460 nucleotides) under uncultured bacterium. Its description in RNAcentral is "partial 16S ribosomal RNA". It matches the Rfam family "Bacterial small subunit ribosomal RNA", at positions 338 to 795 of the family's 1533-position model. The record is from RNAcentral.
CCUACGGGAGGCAGCAGUGAGGAAUAUUGGUCAAUGGACGAGAGUCUGAACCAGCCAAGUAGCGUGAAGGAUGACUGCCCUAUGGGUUGUAAACUUCUUUUAUAUGGGAAUAAAAUGUUCCACGUGUGGGAUUUUGUAUGUACCAUAUGAAUAAGGAUAGGCUAACUCCGUGCCAGCAGCCGCGGUAAUACGGAGGAUCCGAGCGUUAUCCGGAUUUAUUGGGUUUAACGGGAGCGUAGGUGGAUUGUUAAGUCAGUUGUGAAAGUUUGCGGCUCAACCGUAAAAUUGCAGUUGAAACUGGCAGUCUUGAGUACAGUAGAGGUGGGCGGAAUUCGUGGUGUAGCGGUGAAAUGCUUAGAUAUCACGAAGAACUCCGAUUGCGAAGGCAGUUCACUGGACUGCAACUGACACUGAGGCUCGAAAGUGUGGGUAUCAAACAGGAUUAGAUACCCCUGUAGUC